This 1199-nucleotide long non-coding RNA is filed under the name Oryza sativa (Asian cultivated rice). RNAcentral's name for it is "long non-coding RNA (OSAT_LNC000564)". Lineage: Eukaryota; Viridiplantae; Streptophyta; Magnoliopsida; Poales; Poaceae. The record is from RNAcentral.
CAUAAAUAAGUUUAAUCUUCUCGCAACAAAAAAAGUUUACUCAAUUAGAUUGCAACAUGUUUAGUACAACAUGUAAUAAGAAGCUAUUGUCUAUCACAGUCCAAAAACAACAUUUUUCUUUUGAAGCAAUUACAUUAAUUAGAUAACAAAUGGACAAUAGUGAGACUGUCAAACUCAAGCUUCCAUGUAGUAAGAACUGUAUUUAGCAUCUUCCUCAUCAGAUUAGCAUAGACAACGAUCUAACUUUUCAGAGAGAGGAAUGACAUUACUAUGAAUUUCAUGCUCAAAGAGGACAGACGAAGAAAAUGGUACAGCUUCAUGAGAAUGUUUGAUUGACAUCCACAAUAAUUGGAGGCAUGCCUCUGAACAUAGAAGACAACAAGAGAUCUAACAAGUACAUUACAUGUUUCACUGUAUUUACAAUUAUCUCAAUAUCUGUGUAAGAACACCUUAUGAGAUUAAAACUCUCUGAACAGUUAAAGCCUGAAAUAGUGGACCAUUACCAGCAAAGAAAACAUAUAGACUUCCUAUACUAAAUGACUGACAUGCAUAAAUAUAAAGAAGAAUUGACCUGCUUUAGAGUAACCAUGCAUUACAAUCAUAAAUUAAUAGAAACAAACACAUAUUGAACAGAAGUGUUAUUAUAAAUUAAUAGAAACAAACACAUAUUGAACAGAAGUGUUAUUUAUGAAUCAGAACAGGAAAUCAAAAGGAGAAACAACGUUACAGAGUUAUAAUAAAAGAAGGGGAUUCUUUCACAGCCCACUAGACAAGGGUUGCCUCAUUUGUUUCCCCAAAAAAGCACAAAUCACCUAGUGGAAAAAAGAUGGAAACAUAAAAGAGCAAUUGCAGCCAGAAAAGCACCGUUGAUGAUGACUCGUGCACACAGCACCAAAACAUUUGCAAUUAAUCACUCAGAAGUGCGAUUUCCAUAAGAUAAAGAGGUGUAUAUCAUCAGGUGGUGGCAGUGAAACCACAAAUUUCCAACACAUGAGUCCAGUUCUAAGAUUUGUUAAGCAUACAGCACAAAAGAUUAAAAAUGAAGUUUAGGACACCAAUAGCCGCGGGCCACAAUAACAACUAUUUAGGCCGCAUCUGGAGAUAAGCAUACAAAUUUCCACUAAUUCAAAUAGCUUAGUACAGGGGAAAACUACCCCAAAAGAUUACGAGCUACUCGCUAGCUUAGCAACGGGCAGAAA